Small nucleolar RNA from Dioscorea cayenensis subsp. rotundata (Guinea yam), 93 nucleotides. RefSeq annotates it as small nucleolar RNA snoR117. The record is from RefSeq and is a predicted model, not a curated record. NCBI's taxonomy places the organism in Eukaryota, Viridiplantae, Streptophyta, Magnoliopsida, Dioscoreales, Dioscoreaceae. The transcript has a single exon.
GGCCGGUGAUGCAAAGCGAUUGUCCGUACCAUCUGAGAAUCGGGUAACAACCCUUUCUCUGAUGCAUCUCCAUGCCUUUAAUUUCUGAGGCCA